UCUGACUCCACCUGCUGCUGGUUCUCCAGCACUUACCCCACCCUGAGGUGGCUAGAACACAACAGUGAGUGAGCUUGGAAGCUAGCAAGCAGGCUGAAUUUCUUAAACGCCUAAAAUGCCUCGGCAUGUCUCAAAAAAGCUCAGUGAACAAAGGAGGAAGGAAUAAAAUAAAAUAAGAGUGAAUAUUGGCAGUGAAUUUGAAAAGUGAAGAAGACCUAGAGCUUAAAAAAACUACAAGACCGAUGCCGAGCUGCUACUUUUCUCCUCAGCAGGCUGCACUGUAAACUCAGUGAAGGCAGUCUGAGACACACGUUUGGUCUGGGAGCAGAGGACAGGUCUGACAUAUGAAGAGGUGAGACUUCAUUCUUACGUUGCCUUCUCUUUUCUCUACUGCGCUGAUUAAUCCUGGCUGCAAAUUUGACAAAAUGUCAAAAAAAAUGUAAGGAAAAGGAAAUACAGUAAAUG
This 465-nucleotide long non-coding RNA is filed under the name Astyanax mexicanus (Mexican tetra). RNAcentral's name for it is "lncRNA (ENSAMXG00005014979.1)". Lineage: Eukaryota; Metazoa; Chordata; Actinopteri; Characiformes; Acestrorhamphidae. The record is from RNAcentral.